UGAGGAAUAUUGGACAAUGGGUGAGAGCCUGAUCCAGCCAUCCCGCGUGAAGGACUACAGCCCUAUGGGUUUUAAACUUCUUUUGUAUGGGGAUAAACCUAUCUACGAGUAGAUAGCUGAAGGUACCAUACGAAUAAGCAUCGGCUAACUCCGUGCCAGCAGCCGCGGUAAUACGGAGGAUGCGAGCGUUAUCCGGAUUUAUUGGGUUUAAAGGGUCCGUAGGCGGACUUAUAAGUCAGCGGUGAAAUCCUAUAGCUUAACUAUAGACCUGCCGUUGAUACUGUAAGUCUUGAAUAGUAUUGAAGUAGCCGGAAUGUGUAGUGUAGCGGUGAAAUGCAUAGAUAUUACACAGAACACCAAUUGCGAAGGCAGGUUACUAAAUACCGAUUGACGCUGAUGGACGAAAGCGUGGGGAGCGAACA
This 422-nucleotide ribosomal RNA is filed under the name uncultured bacterium. RNAcentral's name for it is "bacterial SSU rRNA". It matches the Rfam family "Bacterial small subunit ribosomal RNA", at positions 355 to 774 of the family's 1533-position model. The record is from RNAcentral.